RNAcentral lists this non-coding RNA (272 nucleotides) under Globisporangium ultimum DAOM BR144. RNAcentral describes it as "Pythium ultimum DAOM BR144 Bacterial small subunit ribosomal RNA". It matches the Rfam family "Bacterial small subunit ribosomal RNA", at positions 1311 to 1533 of the family's 1533-position model. The record is from Rfam by way of RNAcentral. Lineage: Eukaryota; Oomycota; Peronosporomycetes; Pythiales; Pythiaceae.
UCCUCCCAUAUGAAGCUGGAUCGCUAGUAAUCGCAGAACAGCAUGCUGCGGUGAAUAUGUUACUAGACUUUGUACACACCGCCCGUCACAUCAAGGAAGUUAAAUAUUUUUAAAAUGAUUUUUAGUUAUUUUAUUUUAAUAAAUAAUUAUUUAAUUUUAAUAAUUUAUAUUUAAGAUUUUAUAAUAUAUAAGUUCCUAAAAAGUAUUUAGUAACUUUGAUGAAGUCGUAACAAGGUAGUCGUAGGGGAACCUGUGGCUGGAAGAGCUCUUUA